AUGAACGCUGACAGAAUGCUUAACACAUGCCAGUCUUUGGUGAAGCUGUGCUUGCACAGCCUAGCCAAGGCGGACGGGUGAGUAACGCGUAAGGAACUUGCCCUGCAGUCAGGGAUAACAGACGGAAACGACUGAUAAGACCUGGUAAAGUCAGGCGGACUCAUGUCCAGCCUGAUGAAAAGAGAUGCUGCAGGAGAGCCUUGCGUCCUAUUAGCUUGUUGGUGGGGUAACGGCCCACCAAGGCAAUGAUAGGUAGCCGGCCUGAGAGGGUGGACGGCCACAAGGGGACUGAGAUACGGCCCUUACUCCUACGGGAGGCAGCAGUGGGGAAUAUUGGACAAUGGGGGCAACCCUGAUCCAGCAAUUCUGUGUGCACGAUGAAGGUUUUCGGAUUGUAAAGUGCUUUCAGCAGGGAAGAAAAAAAUGACGGUACCUGCAGAAGAAGCGACGGCUAAAUACGUG
RNAcentral lists this ribosomal RNA (462 nucleotides) under uncultured bacterium. RNAcentral's name for it is "partial 16S ribosomal RNA". It matches the Rfam family "Bacterial small subunit ribosomal RNA", at positions 29 to 507 of the family's 1533-position model. The record is from RNAcentral.